CGCUGGCGGCGUGCCUAUACAUGCAAGUCGAGCGAAUGGAUUAAGAAGCUUGCUCUUAUGAAGUUAGCGGCGGACGGGUGAGUAACACGUGGGUAACCUACCCAUAAGACUGGGAUAACUCCGGGAAACCGGGGCUAAUACCGGAUAAUAUUUUGAACUGCAUAGUUCGAAAUUGAAAGGCGGCUUCGGCUGUCACUUAUGGAUGGACCCGCGUCGCAUUAGCUAGUUGGUGAGGUAACGGCUCACCAAGGCGACGAUGCGUAGCCGACCUGAGAGGGUGAUCGGCCACACUGGGACUGAGACACGGCCCAGACUCCUACGGGAGGCAGCAGUAGGGAAUCUUCCGCA
Molecule: ribosomal RNA, 348 nt
Filed under: Bacillus sp. SN33
Lineage: Bacteria; Bacillati; Bacillota; Bacilli; Caryophanales; Bacillaceae
Description: bacterial SSU rRNA
Rfam family: Bacterial small subunit ribosomal RNA
Source: RNAcentral